AUGAAACACUCCCAGACCUUCGCCAUGGAAAAGGCCUGCACAAACCUCACCGAAGUCGUCCGUUCCGUGCGGCUGUUCAAGAUCGAUGGGUUUAGCAUGACCAUGGGCAUAGGCAGGGACUACAGCUUCAAUUCCAGAUGGAGUUUCGACGGGUAUGAUUGGGAAGUCCGUAUUUAUCCACGGACCAAUGAGGAAUUCAAUCGCUCCUGGGUGUCACUACGUCUUAUCUUUCUAAGUGAAGCCCGCACGUGUGCUGUGAGGACGACUCUACGCUGUUGCUUGGUAGAUCCAACAGGAAGGCUUAAGCCGUCUGAAGAAGAUUGCAGGUCAAUAAUAUUCAGGAAACCCCAAGAUAGCUCAUCUCAAGUGCCCCUCAUAACAAGAUGUGAACACCUCGAAUUAUCGGGUUAUGUCAAGGAUGACUCUUUUACUGUGCAAUGCACCCUUGAGGUUUUCAAGGAACUACCAGAUGUAGCAACGGUCUCCCUGAAAGAAGUGCAUCUCCCACCCUCUAACUUGCACCUGCAAUUUGCUCAGCUCCUUCAGAGCGAGACUGGAGCGGACGUCACAUUUCUCGUGUCUGGUGAGUCUUUUGCUGCGCACAAGCUCAUCCUCGCCGCAAGAUCCCCUGUUUGUAUGGCCGAGUUCUUUGGAGACAUGAAGGAGAAGUGCUCUCAGACUGUGGAGAUCAAGGACAUGGACGCUACCGUAUUCAAGGCCCUUCUUCAGUUCAUCUACACCGACACCGUGCCAGAAUUCGGACAACAGGUAGAGGCAGAUGUGGAGGCCAUCUAUACCGACACCAUGCCAGAAUUCGGACAGCAGGAGGCGGCGGUGACGGUGAUGGCUCAGCAUCUCCUUGCUGCCGCUGACAGGUAUGGACUGGACAGGCUGAAGCUCAUUUGCGCAGGCGAGCUCGCUGGUGGCAUCAACGUCAACACAGCAGCGACAACUUUGGCUUUAGCCGACCUGCACAACUGCCCGGAGCUCAAGGCGAGGUGUGUUGAGUUCAUCAUCAAAACUUCUGCCACUCUUGAUGCUGUGUUGGCGACAGAGGGGUAUAAGCACCUGGAGGCAAGCUGCCCUUUGGUGGUGAUUGACCUUUUCAAGGCUGCGCGUGGGAGAAAAAAUUGA
Molecule: ribosomal RNA, 1134 nt
Filed under: Triticum aestivum (bread wheat)
Lineage: Eukaryota; Viridiplantae; Streptophyta; Magnoliopsida; Poales; Poaceae
Description: partial small subunit ribosomal RNA
Source: RNAcentral